This 432-nucleotide ribosomal RNA is filed under the name uncultured bacterium. RNAcentral's name for it is "partial 16S ribosomal RNA". It matches the Rfam family "Bacterial small subunit ribosomal RNA", at positions 29 to 506 of the family's 1533-position model. The record is from RNAcentral.
AACGAACGCUGGCGGCAGGCCUAACACAUGCAAGUCGAGCGCGCCCUUCGGGGUGAGCGGCGGACGGGUGAGUAACGCGUGGGAACGUGCCCUUCUCUGCGGAAUAGCCUCGGGAAACUGAGAGUAAUACCGCAUACGCCCUUUGGGGGAAAGAUUUAUCGGAGAAGGAUCGGCCCGCGUUGGAUUAGGUAGUUGGUGGGGUAAUGGCCCACCAAGCCGACGAUCCAUAGCUGGUUUGAGAGGAUGAUCAGCCACACUGGGACUGAGACACGGCCCAGACUCCUACGGGAGGCAGCAGGGGGGAAUCUUAGACAAGGGGGGCAACCCGGAUCUACCCAGGCCGGGGGGGGGAUGAAGGCCUUGGGGUUGUAAAGCUCUUUCAGCGGGGAAGAUAAUGACGGUACCAGCAAAAGAAGCCCCGGCUAACUCCGG